GGAUAGUCAGGUAUUAUCCUGGACCACGUGAGGCAAUAUGGAACGCAGCCUGCACGUGAAGCUGAGCAUCACUCUCCUGCCCUGUGCACAGAACGUUGCAGAUGCCAACACCAAUGGGACGCAAAAUUCUGCCCACAGCACUCCCAUGUGUGCUGAUGAGACAAGAACUGACCAGGAAAGGUCUCAACCAGCUGGAAACAAUUCUCUGACCUUUUUUGUGUGAAGUGCAAUGGUGAUAGCACUGUGCAGCGAGGAGUUCUGAAUGAUGGAAAUGCAGAGAUGUCUGCUGAGGUUUGCAUACUGCUGCCGCCACGCAGAGGAGAUCUCAUACUGA
RNAcentral lists this long non-coding RNA (334 nucleotides) under Gallus gallus (chicken). Its description in RNAcentral is "long non-coding RNA NONGGAT006688". The record is from RNAcentral. Lineage: Eukaryota; Metazoa; Chordata; Aves; Galliformes; Phasianidae.